Molecule: ribosomal RNA, 497 nt
Filed under: uncultured bacterium
Lineage: Bacteria
Description: partial 16S ribosomal RNA
Rfam family: Bacterial small subunit ribosomal RNA
Source: RNAcentral
GAUGAACGCUGGCGGCGUGCCUAAUACAUGCAAGUCGAGCGAACAGAUGAGGAGCUUGCUCCUCUGACGUUAGCGGCGGACGGGUGAGUAACACGUGGAUAACCUACCUAUAAGACUGGGAUAACUUCGGGAAUCCGGAGCUAAUACCGGAUAAUAUAUUGAACCGCAUGGUUCAAUAGUGAAAGACGGUUUUGCUGUCACUUAUAGAUGGAUCCGCGCCGCAUUAGCUAGUUGGUAAGGUAACGGCUUACCAAGGCAACGAUGCGUAGCCGACCUGAGAGGGUGAUCGGCCACACUGGAACUGAGACACGGUCCAGACUCCUACGGGAGGCGGCAGUAGGGAAUCUUCCGCAAUGGGCGAAAGCCUGACGGAGCAACGCCGCGUGAGUGAUGAAGGUCUUCGGAUCGUAAAACUCUGUUAUUAGGGAAGAACAAAUGUGUAAGUAACUAUGCACGUCUUGACGGUACCUAAUCAGAAAGCCACGGCUAACUACGUG